AACUUAGCUUCCUCUUAUCAGUCCAACCCUAGAAAAUAUCUCAACGCACGCCUUCUCUUCUCCCUUGAAAAACUUCUCACCCUCUCUCUCUCUCUCUCUAGUUGCUAUGACCACCAACCGAAAAUCACAAUCGGCACUGCCACCAUGUCGCCUCUACAGCAUAGAUCAGAUCCACGCCACUGCCUCAGCUACCGAUAAACAUCUCUCUCAGCCUCUUCAUGUCGCUUGAACUCUCUCUGUGUUCAACGCCACUACCGUUCACGACCACCACCUAGACCUGAACCUCCAGAUUUAUAACUCACUCCUCUCCUCCAAAGAUCUGUCAUCUGUACUGAGAACAUGUUGGAACAAAUGCCUGAGAAGAAGCCUUUACUAAAAUACCCCACACAUACUACAAAAUAGGUUUCCAAUUUUUAAUACCAAACAAAUUUUCAAGUUCUCAAAAAAGUCAGAAUAAAACUCCAACUCAAAGAUGCAGAUUCAAUUCCAAUUUUUGAAAAUGGUUUUCUAAUUGCCAGCCAAACGAGGCCUUCGUGUUUUUGUUGUUUCUUAAAGACAUUGCAAUUUGUGGGGGGUUUUGAUUUUCUGGAUUUUUUUUUUUGCUAUGCUAAGAAUAGGUGAGGGAACAAAAAUGUUAGUU
Molecule: non-coding RNA, 640 nt
Organism: Prunus avium (sweet cherry)
Lineage: Eukaryota; Viridiplantae; Streptophyta; Magnoliopsida; Rosales; Rosaceae
Source: RefSeq, a predicted model, not a curated record